ACUUAGGUAGUUUAAUUAAAACUUUGAUUUGUGGUGUCAAGAAUAUGGAUUUAUUUCAUCUUAGGUC
This 67-nucleotide transfer RNA is filed under the name Isoptena serricornis. RNAcentral's name for it is "tRNA-His". The record is from RNAcentral. Lineage: Eukaryota; Metazoa; Arthropoda; Insecta; Plecoptera; Chloroperlidae.